CCACAAGUCAAUGAAAUAAAUGGACUCCUUCCAGGGCAGUUGAUGAAGCCUGGACUUACUGGCAACAAGGGCAGCUCUUUGACAUUUCAAAACAAAAUCUGUGAGUGAAUAUAAAUGGACAAUUCCGCUGCUAGAUGGCAUUCAAUCCGGCAAGCUUGCGCAGUUUCUCACAUAGUAUAAAUGUGAUUGUAGUUUGAGGACCCAAUCUUGCAAAAAUUGCAAAGCCCCUGACAAAAAAUUAAAAAUUAAAACUCUGAAAGCAUGGACAAGGACGCAGAAAAAUUCAUUUAAAAUGUAUUUCAAAAUGGGUCUAUAUGUUAUUAGUGUAUUUUACAACUCCAAAAAUGAGUCUAUGAGUUACUAUUUUUACAGCCCAAAGAAGCAGUAAGGUGCCUUUGACAUAAGGGUAUAAAGAUUACAAUAAAUGACAGUCUACUAGUAAUAUUAAAAAGCUCAAAUUAAAUGAGCUGCCUUACUAAAGACUGCACUUGUUGAUGUAGAAGACAUGAAUUGUUCAUUACACCUUAGUCCCUAACAUUUUUAAUUUGACCACUUUUUAAUCCCUGAAAAUUCACAAAUUUAUUGCACAUUAAUCCUUGAAUUGCCAUAUCAUAAUCACUUAAAUCCCUUGAAAUCUCACACUUUCACUAAUGGUUGUAUAAAGACUCAGAUAACUAAUUUUGAAGCAGCAAGAACAAAAUGCAUGUUAGACCAAACCUUAGGGAGUUUUCAGUAAUUUAGUCUAAUGACUGGACAGCAGCAAACUAAGCUGCUUCCAGAUUGCAUAGAAAGAAGCAUGCCUUAUAAUUAUGAUUAAUUAAAAAACACUGGUCAUAGAGACCCAGACAGAAUGUUACCCCUUGUAAAGUGCACUAGGGCCUUCUGUAAGCAUAACCUGAUAUGCACAAUGAAAUCCAUUUUUAUAGCUUUGAACUCUUUUAGAUUCCCGUUGCAGCAUGAGGCGGGUUUUAAUCAUAUCCAUGGGUGCAGUUAUAAGGGUACUCACUGUCCCUGCUACUGUACUUGAGCUUCAUACACAAAGUGUACAUUUAAUUAAAACUUACGUGAAUCAAAGUAGAAAAAUGCAUAUGAAGUUUUGCUUGUACUUAAUACAUGUCAAACAAAGAUCAUUAUGCAAGUCACCCUGAAAUAGCAUCAGGGAGACAAGGCCUUAACAGUUUAUGGGUGUGCUCAUCUACACAUAAGAUAUUGUAUGAUUUUAAUGCUUUAUUAAAAAUAUUACAUUUUCUCAACUAAUACGUCCAAGAAAUAAAUUGACAUAAUUAUUUCGGAGUUUAUCAUUUUCAUAAUUCUUCAUAAUUCUUCUGUUUAUCGGGAAUGGAAGAACUAUUUGUUCAAAUUCCUAUCAAAUAAACUUUUUAUGUUUCUUUUUACUAUAAUUAGCAUCAUAGUGAAAAGAUAAUAAAAACACAGCAGCAGUGCCAUACACCAAGUGUAGAUGAAAUCCUUCUUCCAGAGGUGUCCACCUAAUAAGAACCCGCUUGGUUUCAUCAUACGUUGCCAGUUGUGAUGCAGUCAAAGCAGCAGCUCUGGCCAUAGCAGGGCCAACCCCCUUCCAGAGAGCUCUUAUUCCCUCUUCAGAAACAAUUCUACGCAUUUCUGCAAUUGGUCCUCCUUGGCUUGGGCUAGGGUUUGUAUUCACCUGCAACCGAACCUUCAGAACUUCAACAGGAUUGGUCAGUGCAGUUGCAAUUGCACCAGCAAAUGCACCUGAUGCAAUCUUGACCAGUAUAUUGGUGGACCCAAAACACAAAGCACAGGCAUGCUUUGAGGGUUCAUACAGCCCUAAACGGAGACCUCCAUAAAUUACUGACCUUGUUAAUGCAGGUGUCAAUCCCAAAUACAAAGCUUUUGGCCCUUCAUUUUUAAAUAGUUGAACAAAUAAACGUCCCUGUAUAUUGUAUAAUGAUACCUCAUUUGAAAAGAAUCUAAUAAACCAAGUGAUCGUUAUAAAGUAAUAAUAAAAGCAUAUCACACCAUUCCAGUCAAAGGACCCUUCUGGCCCACAAGUUGCAUUUGCAGCCGAACUUUGAGUACGUCUGCAUUACAAGUUGAAGAAUUAGAUAUUUAUUGGAUUCAACAGUGCUAAAACAAUUUCCAUAUUCAUUUAUUAUUUGUGCACAUCAUAUAAAAAAAGUAUUUAACUCCAUGAAUAACCUUCUCUAAACCCUACAUAAAAUAGUAAAAUUAUGCAGUGCCACUUCCAACUUCUGUGUUCAUCUACCAUUCAAGAUAAAAUUUGCAACAUCUGAGCUCAAAUCAACCCUAGUCUCCAUUUCUUAUGUAUGUGCCUUUUGAUCACAACAACUCCAAGUAAGUAACUAACCUACAACACUUCUCAGCAGCUCAAUUACAAUUUCAAACAAAUCUAACUCUGAUACUUAGGCCUGAAUUUUGUUCAGCUUCAUUGCACUGAGAUAUAUUUUCUCAUAAAAAAUACAUAUGACGAGUUUCUGGCAAUCUACAGCAACAAUCCAGCGUCAUUGACUCAAUUUCUUUCUUGCUGAUUGAGAUUAAAAUAGGCCAUUGUCACACUAUUCACCUAAUUCAACCAGAUUUUUGUUUAGGAUUCAAUGAGUGGUUAAUUUGACAACAAAAAAAGAAAUAAAUGCAAACCAGCCCAAACAAAAAAUGGAACAAAAGCAGCACGGCAUAAGUUCUGAUAAAUAAAUUUAAAAGGAAAACAUUAUUUGUCUAAUGAAACCUAGGAAUAGGAAACCACAAAUUAUAAUAUACCAGUAUCAUAAUUCCCAGCUGUCCCCUAUUUAUCCUCUUCAUGAACACUAAUACCUGUCAAUUAUAAUUAAACAAAAAAAGCGCUUACCUUUAUGCAUCUUCUACCAACAUUUAGGGCAUGAAAUACAAUUGAAGGCAAACAUAACCAGAUCUCACACCAGCUCACAUAUGAACAUGAUACAAAAAUCAAGCUGGAAGAAAAAAAAGAAAAACCUAAAGGAUGUGUGACGCCUGUAGCAGCCGCCACGGAGAUUCCACUAGUGGCGAAAUGAUAAAUGAAUUUGGACGGUGAGGCUGCCCAAUUCUGCUUCGCAUUGACUUUAGCAAUAGGCUCUGUAAUAAUCCAAAUUUCACAUCCAAUUUCUUUUUCCAUUUUCAGUGAACAAGAAGACAAGCAGAAAAACGAUGAGGAAGAUCUAAUAGAGGAUGAAAAAGAGACCUGAAGGCGAGGAAUUGCUGGAACCUGAAUAGCCCUCC
RNAcentral lists this unclassified non-coding RNA (3234 nucleotides) under Hevea brasiliensis (rubber tree). The record is from RNAcentral. Lineage: Eukaryota; Viridiplantae; Streptophyta; Magnoliopsida; Malpighiales; Euphorbiaceae.